GUGCAGCAGUCGAGAAUCCUUCGCAAUGCGGGAAACCGCGACGAGGGGACUCCCAGUGCCUACGCUCAGCGUAGGCUGUUCCCGAGCCUAGAAAGCUCGGGGAGUAAGGGCUGGGUAAGACGGGUGCCAGCCGCCGCGGUAAUACCCGCAGCCCGAGUGGUGGCCACUAUUAUUGGGCCUAAAGCGUCCGUAGCCGGCCCGGUAAAUGCCUGGGUAAAUCGUGAGGCCUAACCUCACGAAUUCCGGGUAGACUGCCGGGCUAGGGACCGGAGGAGGGAGAGGGGUACUCCAGGGGUAGGGGUGAAAUCCUGUAAUCCCUGGAGGACCACCGGUGGCGAAGGCGCUCUCCUAGGACGGGUCCGACGGUGAGGGACGAAAGCCAGGGGAGCGAACCGGAUUAGAUACCCCGGUAGU
Molecule: ribosomal RNA, 414 nt
Filed under: uncultured microorganism
Description: bacterial SSU rRNA
Rfam family: Archaeal small subunit ribosomal RNA
Source: RNAcentral